AAAGUCGUAACAAGGUUUCCGUAGGUGAACCUGCGGAAGGAUCAUUACUGCAUGUCUCUGGCGCGAUGCGGGCAACCGGGUCGCGUCGAGCUUGUCACCCUUGUCUAUCAGUACCUUUCGUUACUUCUCUCGGCGGGACCCCCGCCGUUGGGAACGUUCAAACCCUCUUGCAUCAGCAUUACAAACUGAACAACCUAUAAUUAUCACAACUUUCAACAAUGGAUCUCUUGGUUCUG
This 236-nucleotide unclassified non-coding RNA is filed under the name Ascomycota sp. Its description in RNAcentral is "partial contains small subunit ribosomal RNA, internal transcribed spacer 1, and 5.8S ribosomal RNA". The stretch from base 1 to 47 matches the Rfam family "Eukaryotic small subunit ribosomal RNA", at positions 1785 to 1831 of the family's 1831-position model. Lineage: Eukaryota; Fungi; Ascomycota. The record is from RNAcentral.